This 342-nucleotide ribosomal RNA is filed under the name uncultured eukaryote. RNAcentral's name for it is "SSU rRNA". It matches the Rfam family "Eukaryotic small subunit ribosomal RNA", at positions 639 to 980 of the family's 1831-position model. The record is from RNAcentral.
UUCUGGUGGGGCUGUCGGCCUGGCUCCGAAAGGGGUCUUGGUUAGUACACGCCUGGCCAUCCUCGGGGGAAGCUUUGCUGGCAUUAAGUUGUCGGCGGAGUGACGCUCGUCGUUUACUGUGAACAAAUUAGAGUGUUCAAAGCAGGCUUAGGCCGUUGAAUACAUUAGCAUGGAAUAAUGAGAUAGGACUUUGGUGGUCUAUUUUGUUGGUUUGCACGCCGAAGUAAUGAUUAAUAGGGGCGGUUGGGGGCAUUCGCAUUCAAUUGUCAGAGGUGAAAUUCUUGGAUUUAUGGAAGACAAACUACUGCGAAAGUAUUUACCAAGGAUGUUUGCAUUAAUCAA